GGGUCUAUUUGUUUACUAGGAAAACAUUUUCUGGAAAAUGUUUUACUGGUUUUCCAGUAUUUGUUUGCUUGAAAAUCACUUACAUUGGUAAAACAUUUUCAGAAACACGGGAAAAUGAUAAGGGAUUUGGGGAAUAUGUCUUACUUUUAUUUCUGUAAGAUAUUUUUCAUCUUUCCUCCUCCUUCCGUCCUUCUUCUUCAUCAUCCAAUUGGACCAGUUCCCUUCCUGAAACAAAGCUCAAGACGAAGAAACGGAGAGAUAAGCUGACUUGAAAGAUGAUGGAGCCAGUGCCAAGGUCAUUGGGAAUUAGCGCUAGCUUGGCUCUUCGUUUGGGACAAACCAUUUUCUCCUCUGCUUCACUUCUUUUCAUGUGUUUGGAUGUUGAAUUCUAUAACUAUACUUCUUUCAGGUGAUUCCCAAAAGCUUCAUUUCUUCUAUUUUUUUGGGUAAAAUUUUGAUUUUGGUUUUCUCUUUACCCUUUAAUCUACCCAUGCCCUUAUUUCUGUUAUUUUGUUGGAAUUCAAUUUAUUGUUACUUGAUAGUUGAUUUCUGGUGUUAAAAUGGACGUCUGUGGGAAAACUGUCAUGAUCAUCAUCUUGAUGAAUCUAGUACUAUGUUAGGAGUUAAAUUUUUUAUGAGAGGACUGAUCAAACAUUUCUUUGCUUUUCCAUUUUUAUUGAGGAAGCAAGAUAAAUGCAGUCAAAUGAACUAUAUGCAAUUCUUUUAUGUGAUCUUUUGGGUUCUGGGCUUUGGAAUUAUCAAAUGCUUUCACUUGCUUAAAUAUCAAAAUUCAGUAAGGAUUCUAAUAUAGUUUAUUGUUUCUGAGUUUAAAAAAGGGGUGAAUUGUAUGUUAUUUCUUCUAUUUCAAUGGAAAUUUCUCUAAGUUGAUUCUAAAA
Molecule: long non-coding RNA, 896 nt
Organism: Gossypium arboreum
Lineage: Eukaryota; Viridiplantae; Streptophyta; Magnoliopsida; Malvales; Malvaceae
Exons: 2
Source: RefSeq, a predicted model, not a curated record